CGUUGUCGUCAGCUCGUGUCGUGAGAUGUUGGUUAAGUCCCGCAACGAGCGCAACCCUCGCCUUUAGUUGCCAGCAUUCAGUUGGGCACUCUAGAGGGACUGCCGGUGUCAAACCGGAGGAAGGUGGGAUGACGUCAAGUCCUCAUGGCCUUUAUGUCUAGGGCUACACACGUACUACAAUGGCCGGUACAAAGGGCAGCCACUCAGCGAUGAGGCGCUAAUCCCAUAAAGCCGGUCUCAGUCCGGAUCGCAGUCUGCAACUCGACUGCGUGAAGUUGGAAUCGCUAGUAAUCGUAGAUCAGCAUGCUACGGUGAAUACGUUCCCGGGCCUU
This 332-nucleotide ribosomal RNA is filed under the name uncultured Desulfovibrio sp. Its description in RNAcentral is "bacterial SSU rRNA". It matches the Rfam family "Bacterial small subunit ribosomal RNA", at positions 1047 to 1382 of the family's 1533-position model. Lineage: Bacteria; Pseudomonadati; Thermodesulfobacteriota; Desulfovibrionia; Desulfovibrionales; Desulfovibrionaceae. The record is from RNAcentral.